UGCAACCAGGAGUCAAACUGAUUUAACUUCACUGUUUUUCGGCAUUUUAUUAUACGAGAAGGAAGCAGAAUUAAAGACUGUCUAUCCAUUUUCACUCCGAUUGUGACCCUACCAGCACUGAGAUGGACUAGGAAUUCACGUGUUUUUUACUCCUCGCCUGUAUAUCAAGUUGCUGGUGAUGAAGUCACAUUUGGAGGUUGGAUGAUCAGCAGUGAAAACAACAUCAUCUGUGAAGGAAAGAUGAAGCUGCGAGGACACUGGAGUUUGUUCAAAGAUGCUUCAUUGGUGUGAACCCUAAGAGGGGAACAAAAGCCAGGCAGGUGAGGUGUCCAAGAAGACAGGAAAGCUUGUCCAGAAAAAUGCAGCAAUGGAGUGCAGAGUGGCCACCCUCAUCAGAAACCUCAUGGACUUUGAGUGGGGCUUUCACAUUGUAUUCUGCAAUGUUGUGAUAUUUAUGUGACAUCACAGCAUUAUGUUUUA
Molecule: non-coding RNA, 480 nt
Organism: Paramisgurnus dabryanus
Lineage: Eukaryota; Metazoa; Chordata; Actinopteri; Cypriniformes; Cobitidae
Source: RefSeq, a predicted model, not a curated record